UACAGAGGGGGCAAGCGUUGUUCGGAAUCACUGGGCGUAAAGCGCACGUAGGCGGAUUUCUAAGUCGGUGGUGAAAUCCUGGAGCUCAACUCCAGAACUGCCUCCGAUACUGGGAGUCUUCGAGUCCGGGAGAGGUGAGUGGAACUGCGAGUGUAGAGGUGAAAUUCGUAGAUAUUCGCAAGAACACCAGUGGCGAAGGCGGCUCACUGGCCCGGUACUGACGCUGAGGUGCGAAGGCGUGGGGAGCAAACAGG
This 254-nucleotide ribosomal RNA is filed under the name uncultured bacterium. Its description in RNAcentral is "partial 16S ribosomal RNA". It matches the Rfam family "Bacterial small subunit ribosomal RNA", at positions 524 to 776 of the family's 1533-position model. The record is from RNAcentral.